GAUGAACGCUGGCGGCGUGCCUAAUACAUGCAAGUCGAGCGAACGGACGAGAAGCUUGCUUCUCUGAUGUUAGCGGCGGACGGGUGAGUAACACGUGGAUAACCUACCCAUAAGACUGGGAUAACUUCGGGAAACCGGAGCUAAUACCGGAUAAUAUUUUGAACCGCAUGGUUCAAAAGUGAAAGACGGUCUUGCUGUCACUUAUAGAUGGAUCCGCGCUGCAUUAGCUAGUUGGUAAGGUAACGGCUUACCAAGGCAACGAUGCAUAGCCGACCUGAGAGGGUGAACGGCCACACUGGAACUGAGACACGGUCCAGACUCCUACGGGAGGCAGAGGUAGGGAAUCUUCCGAAAUGGGCGAAAGCCUGAAGGAGCAACGCCGCGUGGGUGAUGAAGGUCUUCGGAUCGUAAAACUCUGUUAUUAGGGAAGAACAUAUGUGUAAGUAACUGUGCACAUCUUGACGGUACCUAAUCAGAAAGCCACGGCUAACUACGUG
Molecule: ribosomal RNA, 497 nt
Filed under: uncultured bacterium
Lineage: Bacteria
Description: partial 16S ribosomal RNA
Rfam family: Bacterial small subunit ribosomal RNA
Source: RNAcentral